Molecule: ribosomal RNA, 183 nt
Filed under: uncultured bacterium
Lineage: Bacteria
Description: partial 16S ribosomal RNA
Rfam family: Bacterial small subunit ribosomal RNA
Source: RNAcentral
ACACGAAGCUGGAAUCGCUAGUAAUCGCGAAUCAGAAUGUCGCGGUGAAUACGUUCCCGGGUCUUGUACACACCGCCCGUCACACCAUGGGAGCCGACAACGCCCGAAGUCAGUGACCUAACCGAGAGGGAGGAGCUGCCGAAGGCGGGGUUGGUAACUGGGGUGAAGUCGUAACAAGGUAUC